RNAcentral lists this ribosomal RNA (170 nucleotides) under uncultured rumen bacterium. RNAcentral's name for it is "partial 16S ribosomal RNA". It matches the Rfam family "Bacterial small subunit ribosomal RNA", at positions 340 to 524 of the family's 1533-position model. The record is from RNAcentral.
UACGGGAGGCAGCAGUGAGGAAUAUUGCGCAAUGGAGGAAACUCUGACGCAGCGACGCCGCGUGAAGGAUGAAGGUCUUCGGAUUGUAAACUUCUGUCUUCAGGGAAGAAAUAAAUGACGGUACCUGGGGAGGAAGCCCCGGCUAACUACGUGCCAGCAGCCGCGGUAAU